Molecule: microRNA, 22 nt
Filed under: Drosophila virilis
Lineage: Eukaryota; Metazoa; Arthropoda; Insecta; Diptera; Drosophilidae
Description: dvi-miR-9708b-3p
Source: miRBase by way of RNAcentral
AUAUGUUUUAGACGUGUUCAGG